GAAGCUAAUACCUGAUAAUAUUUUGAACCGCAUGGUUCAAAAGUGAAAGACGGUCUUGCUGUCACUUAUAGAUGGAUCCGCGCUGCAUUAGCUAGUUGGUAAGGUAACGGCUUACCAAGGCAACGAUGCAUAGCCGACCUGAGAGGGUGAUCGGCCACACUGGAACUGAGACACGGUCCAG
RNAcentral lists this ribosomal RNA (181 nucleotides) under uncultured Staphylococcus sp. RNAcentral's name for it is "partial 16S ribosomal RNA". It matches the Rfam family "Bacterial small subunit ribosomal RNA", at positions 159 to 334 of the family's 1533-position model. The record is from RNAcentral. Lineage: Bacteria; Bacillati; Bacillota; Bacilli; Caryophanales; Staphylococcaceae.